This is a non-coding RNA of Microcebus murinus (gray mouse lemur), 2420 nucleotides long. Lineage: Eukaryota; Metazoa; Chordata; Mammalia; Primates; Cheirogaleidae. The record is from RefSeq and is a predicted model, not a curated record.
ACUCGCGAUGCUGUUCGUUGAAUCGGUGGCCCCAGAAGGAGGGCUCCUGUCUCUGUCAGGCAGCGCUCACUGAUUCUCCGGCUCUCAUUUCUUUUUCCGUUUCCUCCCAGGCUGCUCCAGACUUAAUUUCUAAGCAGACCAAAGACGCUUCUUCCAACACAGAGCAAAGCUGGUGUCUAUGACUGAGGAGGCCUAUUCCUGGGAAUUGAGGCUACCCCAGAGAGUCCCUGUGAGCCCAGGCCAGCUCCCUCGCUGUAUUCUGAUCAGGAACAUGAAGAUAAAGAUAGCAGAUCUCUCACAUGUGCAUGGUCAGAAUUCAACAGGAUGAUGCUGGGCAAAAGGCCCGGUAGAGGUCCAGGCACUUAGUAGGUGCUCAAUAAGCGUCAGUUGUUAAGUAUGAGUCCUUCAGGACAACCACGGCUUUAUACCCGGACUAGCACAGGAGCCCAGAGCAGCGGCGCCUCAUCCUGCCAGCGGGGAAGAGAUUGGGAAAGGCUUUCCGGAAGAGGGGAGACCUGAACUGAGUCUUCAAAGACAAGUAGGUAUGAACCAAAGGGGUAGGGGAAGCCAGGUAGGGGAGACAAGAGAAAAGGCAUGCAGGUGAGGUGCACAGGAGCAUUAAAUGCGGGGGUAGACCACUGAGAGGUAAGACUGCAGAGGCAUUUGGGGCCAGCCAGACAGGACUUGAUUGUUAGAAUUAGAAGGUUGGACUGAUCUCUCCCUUGGUGGAGGGGUGGAUAUCAAAAUCCCAAUUUUAUAGACCAGGAAACAGGCUCAGAGAGGGUCACUCAACCCCUGAAGGGGACAGGGAUCCUCAGUUAUUUCUUUGAGUUACAGAAGAGGAAGCCAAGGCCCAGAGAGGGCAGUGACUCACUCAAUUUGCCCAGCAAAGAGAGCGCAGAGGUGGGAUUUGAACCCUGGACUCCUGUACUCCCCCUUCCCAGAGCUCUUCCUGUGCUACCUCACCUCCCACAACAACACAUGCUGCCCUCCUGCUGGGAGCCCAGCCUCCUCUGUCCUCACUUUCCACACCCCCAGAUUCUCUGCAGAUUGGCAGAUGAUUCACAGAAAGGUUUACAGAGAUUCCAGCUUUUGUGUCCCAGGAUAAUGAGAGUAAAUCCACACAGAACAAGGUGUAAUCAGUAGCCCGCCCUGGCUCCACCACUCCCAGCCUGGAUCUCUGCCAUAUUCCAGCAGGGACAGAAAGCUCCUUCCGCCAGCACCUGUGGGGGGCUACUGUCUCUCUUCCUCCUCUUUGUGCCCACCCUGUUUCUCUGGACUGUGGAGAGAUCCCUGGGGAGAUCUGGAGACUGUCACCAAGCCUCCUUGAUCAAGGAGUUGGCAGAAACUUCUGCCCCUGAACAAUUUGAAAAUAACAAUAGCAAUAAGGCAUGUGGAACAGUCCUGUGAUGGAGAUGACAUAUAUUCUGUUCCUGCCCUGCAGAAAGUUCAGGAAUACUCCCCCGUGGUUGUCCCCUCCCCUCUCAGUGUCUCAGCCACAAGAGCCCAGGCUCACGCUAGCAGGAGGCUGAGAUCAGAGCACCUGUGGAUUUUCCAGGUGUGUUCAUUUACCUUCUGAUUUUGUGGUGGAGGGACCCCUCAGACAGUGACAGUGAUCAGAGGGGAGUUAGGUGGGGAGAAAAAGGAAGAGCCACACAGGCAGCCGUGGGGGUAAGGAAAUAGUCCCUCUUUAGCAAAUGCUGUGGCAACAUUGAGAAAACAGCUGUGUGUGUGUGUGUGUGUGUGUGUGUGUGUACUUCUUUCCCCCUUAUUACCCAAUUAACCUGCUCAUUGUAGAACAUUUGGAAAGUAAGAGAAAAAAAUUACCAAUAACAUUGUCUCCCAGAAGCAAUCAUUUUAUAAUUUUGACAUAUUUUUAAGAAAAAAGGUUUUAAAGAAAAUAAUCACCAUCCUACCCUCAGAUUCUCUGCUGAUUGGAAGAUGAUUCAGAGAAAGGUUUGUAGAGAUUCCAGUUUUUGUGUCCCUGGAUGUUGAGAGUAAAUCCACGCAGAACAAGGUGUAAUCAAUGGCCCAGGUUCUGCCACUCCCCAGCCUGGAUCUGUGCCGUAUUCCAGCAGGGACAGAAGUCCCUUUCCUGCCAGCACCCAUGGAGGCUGCAGUCCUUCUUUUUUUAAUCCAUGUUUAAUGUUUCUGUGCUCUCUUUGGGUAUUCAUCUAUAUGCAAACACACUAUUGCCAUAGUGAACAAUUUAGUGCUCUGCUUUCUAACCUUCACAUUUCAGUGUAAACAUGAGUCUAUGUUACUGAGGAGCCUUCACAACUUUCAUUUUGUGGCUCAACAAUAUACUCAGGUUGUAUCAUCGGGCUACUUCCCAUUACAAACAACACUGCAGGCCAGGUGCAGUGGCUCAACGCCUGUAAUCCCAGCACUCCUGAGAGGCUGAGGCUGGAAGAUUGCUU